CCGAAUGCCUAAGGUUUCCUGAGGAAGGCUCGUCCGCUCAGGGUUAGUCAGGACCUAAGCCGAGGCCGACAGGCGUAGGCGAUGGACAACAGGUUGAUAUUCCUGUACCACCUCUUUAUCGUUUGAGCAAUGGAGGGACGCAGAAGGAUAGAAGAAGCGUGCGAUUGGUUGUGCACGUCCAAGCAGUUAGGCUGAUAAGUAGGCAAAUCCGCUUAUCGUGAAGGCUGAGCUGUGAUGGGGAAGCUCCUUAUGGAGCGAAGUCUUUGAUUCCCCGCUGCCAAGAAAAGCUUCUAGCGAGAUAAAAGGUGCCUGUACCGCAAACCGACACAGGUAGGCGAGGAGAGAAUCCUAAGGUGUGCGAGAGAACUCUGGUUAAGGAACUCGGCAAAAUGACCCCGUAACUUCGGGAGAAGGGGUGCUUUCUUAACGGAAAGCCGCAGUGAAUAGGCCCAAGCGACUGUUUAGCAAAAACACAGCUCUCUGCGAAGCCGUAAGGCGAAGUAUAGGGGGUGACACCUGCCCGGUGCUGGAAGGUUAAGGAGAGGGGUUAGCGUAAGCGAAGCUCUGAACUGAAGCCCCAGUAAACGGCGGCCGUAACUAUAACGGUCCUAAGGUAGCGAAAUUCCUUGUCGGGUAAGUUCCGACCCGCACGAAAGGUGUAACGAUUUGGGCACUGUCUCAACCAGAGACUCGGUGAAAUUAUAGUACCUGUGAAGAUGCAGGUUACCCGCGACAGGACGGAAAGACCCCGUGGAGCUUUACUGUAGCCUGAUAUUGAAUUUUGGUACAGUUUGUACAGGAUAGGCGGGAGCCUUUGAAACCGGAGCGCUAGCUUCGGUGGAGGCGCUGGUGGGAUACCGCCCUGACUGUAUUGAAAUUCUAACCUACGGGUCUUAUCGACCCGGGAGACAGUGUCAGGUGGGCAGUUUGACUGGGGCGGUCGCCUCCUAAAGUGUAACGGAGGCGCCCAAAGGUUCCCUCAGAAUGGUUGGAAAUCAUUCGUAGAGUGCAAAGGCAUAAGGGAGCUUGACUGCGAGACCUACAAGUCGAGCAGGGACGAAAGUCGGGCUUAGUGAUCCGGUGGUUCCGCAUGGAAGGGCCAUCGCUCAACGGAUAAAAGCUACCCCGGGGAUAACAGGCUUAUCUCCCCCAAGAGUCCACAUCGACGGGGAGGUUUGGCACCUCGAUGUCGGCUCAUCGCAUCCUGGGGCUGUAGUCGGUCCCAAGGGUUGGGCUGUUCGCCCAUUAAAGCGGUACGCGAGCUGGGUUCAGAACGUCGUGAGACAGUUCGGUCCCUAUCCGUCGUGGGCGUAGGAAAUUUGAGAGGAGCUGUCCUUAGUACGAGAGGACCGGGAUGGACGCACCGCUGGUGUACCAGUUGUUCUGCCAAGGGCAUAGCUGGGUAGCUAUGUGCGGAAGGGAUAAGUGCUGAAAGCAUCUAAGCAUGAAGCCCCCCUCAAGAUGAGAUUUCCCAUAGCGUAAGCUAGUAAGAUCCCUGAAAGAUGAUCAGGUUGAUAGGUUCGAGGUGGAAGCAUGGUGACAUGUGGAGCUGACGAAUACUAAUAGAUCGAGGACUUAACCAU
This 1583-nucleotide ribosomal RNA is filed under the name Bacillus anthracis (anthrax bacterium). RNAcentral describes it as "partial 23S ribosomal RNA". It matches the Rfam family "Bacterial large subunit ribosomal RNA", at positions 1337 to 2925 of the family's 2925-position model. Lineage: Bacteria; Bacillati; Bacillota; Bacilli; Caryophanales; Bacillaceae. The record is from RNAcentral.